Molecule: non-coding RNA, 172 nt
Filed under: uncultured Ruminococcus sp.
Lineage: Bacteria; Bacillati; Bacillota; Clostridia; Eubacteriales; Oscillospiraceae
Description: Lysine riboswitch
Rfam family: Lysine riboswitch aptamer
About the family: Riboswitches are metabolite binding domains within certain messenger RNAs that serve as precision sensors for their corresponding targets. Allosteric rearrangement of mRNA structure is mediated by ligand binding, and this results in modulation of gene expression.
Source: RNAcentral
AGUGAUAGAGGCGCGGGCUUCAUCAGUAGGCGGACAGUGACACGGGAAAGUCGCCGCUGAAAGGGGAUCCCGCCGAAACAAAGGUCUUUUCCCGAGAGGCUUUUGUUGGGAUAGCGCGGAAUACGCGCUAUACUGUCGUUACCGGGACUGCGUCCCGAACGGAGUGCUAUUC